RNAcentral lists this ribosomal RNA (508 nucleotides) under uncultured bacterium. RNAcentral describes it as "partial 16S ribosomal RNA". It matches the Rfam family "Bacterial small subunit ribosomal RNA", at positions 28 to 523 of the family's 1533-position model. The record is from RNAcentral.
GAUGAACGUUAGCUACAGGCUUAACACAUGCAAGUCGAGGGGCAGCAUGGUCUUAGCUUGCUAAGGCUGAUGGUGACUGGCGCAAGGGUGAGUAACAUGUAACACACCUGCCGUCUACCCUUGGCCCGCCUCCUGAAAGGAAGAUUAAUCCAGGAUGGGAUCAUGAGUUCACAUGUCCGUAUGAUCAAUGGUAUUUUCCGGUAGACGAUGGGCAUGCGUUCCAUUAGAUCGUAGGCGGGGUAACGGCCCACCUCGUCAACGAUGGAUAGGGGUUCUGAGAGGAAGGGCCCCCACAUUUGAACUGUGACACGGGCCAAACCCCUACGGGAGGCAGCAGUGAGGAAUAUUGGUCAAUGGGCGAUGGCCUGAACCAGCCAAGUAGCGUGAAGGAUGACUGCCCUAUGGGUUGUAAACUUCUUUUAUAAAGGAAUAAAGUCGGGUAUGCAUACCCUUUUUCAUGUACUUUAUGAAUAAGGAUCGACUAACUCCGUGCCAGCCGCCGCAGUAA